UACGUAGGGGGCAAGCGUUAUCCGGAUUUACUGGGUGUAAAGGGAGCGUAGACGGCAGCGCAAGUCUGGAGUGAAAUGCCGGGGCCCAACCCCGUAACUGCUUUGGAAACUGUGCGGCUCGAGUGCGGGAGAGGUAGGCGGAAUUCCUAGUGUAGCGGUGAAAUGCGUAGAUAUUAGGAGGAACACCAGUGGCGAAGGCGGCUUACUGGACCGUAACUGACGUUGAGGCUCGAAAGCGUGGGGAGCAAACAGG
This 253-nucleotide ribosomal RNA is filed under the name uncultured bacterium. Its description in RNAcentral is "partial 16S ribosomal RNA". It matches the Rfam family "Bacterial small subunit ribosomal RNA", at positions 524 to 776 of the family's 1533-position model. The record is from RNAcentral.